GGAGGAAGGCCCUCCGAAAUCGCCAUGCAGGUGGAGAUUUCAAACUACCUUAAGGUGCUAUAAUCAAAAGUUAUGGUAUUGAGCGUUAAGGAAAAGGCAGAGUUAAAUCUGUCAAGU
Molecule: non-coding RNA, 117 nt
Organism: Clostridium estertheticum
Lineage: Bacteria; Bacillati; Bacillota; Clostridia; Eubacteriales; Clostridiaceae
Source: Rfam